UUUCGCAAUGCCCGAAAGGGAGACGAAGCGACGCCGCGUGCGGGAAGAAGGCCUUCGGGUUGUAAACCGCUGUCGGGAGUUAGGAAAUGCAAGGAUGUUAAUAGCGUCUUUGCUUGACUAAGGCUCCGGAGGAAGCCACGGCUAACUCUGUGCCAGCAGCCGCGGUAAUACAGAGGCGGCAAGCGUUGUUCGGAAUUAUUGGGCGUAAAGAGCACGUAGGCGGCCGUGUAAGUCGGUUGUGAAAGCCUUCCGCUCAACGGGAGAACGGCAUCCGAUACUGCAUGGCUCGAGUGCGGGAGGGGAGAGUGGAACUUCUGGUGGAGCGGUGAAAUGCGUAGAUAUCAGAAGGAACACCGGCGGCGAAGGCGACUCUCUGGCCCGUAACUGACGCUGAGUGUGCGAAAGCUAGGGGAGCAAACGGGAUUAGAUACCCCGGUAGUCCUAGCCGUAAACGAUGGGCACUAAGUAGAGGGGUUUU
RNAcentral lists this ribosomal RNA (478 nucleotides) under uncultured Planctomycetales bacterium. RNAcentral's name for it is "bacterial SSU rRNA". It matches the Rfam family "Bacterial small subunit ribosomal RNA", at positions 364 to 832 of the family's 1533-position model. Lineage: Bacteria; Pseudomonadati; Planctomycetota; Planctomycetia; Planctomycetales. The record is from RNAcentral.